UACAGAGGGUGCAAGCGUUAAUCGGAGUUACUGGGCGUAAAGGGCGCGUAGGCGGUUGGGUGAGUGUGAUGUGAAAGCCCUGGGCUUAACCUAGGAAGUGCAUCGCAAACGACCUAACUGGAGUAUAAGAGAGGGUGGUGGAAUUUCCGGUGUAGCGGUGAAAUGCGUAGAGAUCGGAAGGAACGUCAAUGGCGAAGGCAGCCACCUGGCUUAAUACUGACGCUGAGGCGCGAAAGCGUGGGGAUCGAACAGG
RNAcentral lists this unclassified non-coding RNA (253 nucleotides) under uncultured Gammaproteobacteria bacterium. RNAcentral's name for it is "contains 16S-23S intergenic spacer region". It matches the Rfam family "Bacterial small subunit ribosomal RNA", at positions 524 to 776 of the family's 1533-position model. The record is from RNAcentral. Lineage: Bacteria; Pseudomonadati; Pseudomonadota; Gammaproteobacteria.